This 619-nucleotide ribosomal RNA is filed under the name uncultured archaeon. Its description in RNAcentral is "bacterial SSU rRNA". It matches the Rfam family "Archaeal small subunit ribosomal RNA", at positions 52 to 670 of the family's 1478-position model. The record is from RNAcentral.
UGCGAGUCAUAUGUUCUUCGUGAACAUGGCGUACUGCUCAGUAACACGUGGAUAACCUGCCCUUGGGACCGGGAUAACCCGGGGAAACUGGGGAUAAUACCGGAUAACGCAUAUCUGCUGGAAUGCUUUAUGCGUAAAAUGGAUUUGUCUGCCCAAGGAUGGGUCUGCGGCCUAUCAGGUAGUAGUGGGUGUAAUGUACCUACUAGCCUACGACGGGUACGGGUUGUGAGAGCAAGAGCCCGGAGAUGGAUUCUGAGACAUGAAUCCAGGCCCUACGGGGCGCAGCAGGCGCGAAAACUUUACAAUGCGGGAAACCGUGAUAAGGGGACACCGAGUGCCAGCAUCAUAUGUUGGCUGUCCAGAUGUGUAAAAUACAUCUGUUAGCAAGGGCCGGGCAAGACCGGUGCCAGCCGCCGCGGUAACACCGGCGGCCCGAGUGGUGAUCGUGAUUAUUGGGUCUAAAGGGUCCGUAGCCGGUUUGGUCAGUCCUCCGGGAAAUCUGACGGCUCAACCGUUAGGCUUUCGGUGGAUACUGCCAGACUUGGAACCGGGAGAGGUAAGAGGUACUACAGGGGUAGGAGUGAAAUCUUGUAAUCCCUGUGAGACCACCUGUGGCGAA